CUCACACCCUUUGCUGGCUGGGUAUGGCUAUGAGGAGACAUGGAAAUACAUCUUUUCCUGUAAUUUGCUGUAAAGGAGGAAUGUAAAUUCAGAAGUUGUUUUUGUGCCAUUUCCAACUCUUCCUCUAGCCCUUAGAGCCACGAUUCUCAAAGGAUGACGCAGGAGAAGGAAGCCUUGGGCUGCUAAUUACCCCUGUGUCAACACCCUCACCUUUGGCAGCAGUGAUACCUUCCUUGCCUUGGCUGUACCCUGGAGAACUCCUUGCAGUGCUUCCUCACGGCUUGGCCUUCUUGGACAUCGGAGCCCAGUGCAGCCUGUAAAAACUAUGCCACAGACCCCAGGAGAUAUCUGUGAUCUGAUGCCUGAAGCUCUAGAGGGAAAACUGAUGCUUUUCAGCUGCUCAGUUGCAUUAAGCUAGACUGAAGUCCUUUUAUCUUACUAUUAAUUUUCUCCAUGCACCAUGACCCUAUCUGCAUAACGUGUGCUGGGCAGUCGGGUCUUAGAGAUGGUGGCCUCUUCGUAGUCACUAAGGGAGGUUGCCUUGGACAAUUUUCUCUCUCUGUGGAACUGACCAAGAAUGUCCAAAAUAUUGCCAUGAUUUUAAGCCUGAUUUCUCCCAUUAUAAAAAAAAAAAAAAAAAAGUCUUAAAUUCAUCCAAGAUUCUUCCUAUUUUUCAGUGCAUAUUCUUUAGUAUUUUUUUUUUCUCUAAUUUGAAGAACAAGGAUGAAUUUUUCGAGAGUUCAAGCUGCCUUCUAAGCUCAGCAACAGGAAGGCCUGUGCUUCCCACCAGUCCCACAAGCUGCGAAGAGGUGCUGUGACCUGCAGCUCUGACUCAGAUCGUCUUAGAAAUAGCACUCCAUUUUACCUGGGAGCUGUGGAGGUGCAAGCAGAUUAAUCAGUUGUCCUGAAGGAUCACCUGAAGAGAAUGGCUGUCAGUAAAAGGAUUAGCAUUCAAACAGUAAGCGGCUGUCAGACUUUGUUUAAAAGACUAGGGAAGCCAAAUGUCAGUGUAUCCAAUAGGUGCAGUUGUUAAAACAGACCUACAUGUAUUAUUCUGGUGUUCUGUGUAGCAAAUGGCUAGUAUCUUCCUCUGUUAUCCAUAGUCUCCUAGGAUUCCCUACUGCUUACUCUAAACCAACCUAUCCCCCAACUUGUUCAAUUUAUAACACAGUGUGCAUCUUUGUUGUAUGGUCUAACUUCUUUUUCCCCUGCUCCAUCUCUGGGAGCUCUGAGAUCAGAAUCCACCUCUUGCAUUGACUCAUUUUUUUCUUCCUUGGUCCCUCUUUACAAACUCUUCAUAGAGGGCAGGCUUCAUAGUCUGGCUGCCCUGGGAGCCUACACCCUGCCAGCCUCAGGAGCACGCCAUUUCUUUCUCUUGAUCAGGGAGGACAAGGCAGGGGCACGAGUGAGGGUCCAGGAACAGACAGGACAGUUUGCAGAGGGGUGGAGGGACAAAAAUGUCUACAAUCAACAGAGCAGGCUCUUAACACUUGAAACAACCCCCUUGGGUAUUAAGUCAUGUUGCCUUUGCUGCUAAGACCCUCAAAACACAAAGGCAUGUCUUUAAAUAUAUGUAUAAAAAAAUACAAGUAGCUUGAGUGGUCGAUGAAAAAGAAGAGCACUGAGCAGCUCUUGUUGGCCAAGCAACUCAUGCAAAAUUAGUAGUUGCUGGCAGUAGUUGUGCCCCUUUGUGCAUGUGCUGCUCCCAUUGCAUAACCAUACGCCGUACCCAGGUAAGCUUCAUGUCAGUGUUCACCUCCACACUUGUAUUUUUAGUGCACAGCCACCCAAAAUGUGCAACUCAUCUUCUCCUCUGUGUCAUCAUGGAUUGCCUAUACUCUCAACCUUUGAUCACCUAUCUCUCUUCCUAUUUAAUAAUGUCAGGGCCUUUUUAUCAUCGCAAAAGACACCAACAAAAUUACCUUUACCCUUCCUGACAAGAUAAUCUCAAGCGAAGCUAGCAUAAAGAUAAGGUGCUCACCUUCACACUUAUUGCAUUACAGCAGCAGUAUAAAAUGAGUUGUGAAAUUUAUCUUCUACCUUUCGUUAAACUUUUUCACGUGCUUUAAUCACAACUCAAUUGAAAACCAGUUUUUUUCACUGACCUUAAAGAGGCCCUUAUCAGAGCUGAGCAUGGAGGAAUUUCCUCCUUCCUACUUUGUUUUCUCCAUACUCGGACUGCCUGAGGUCCAUCCUGAAGGUUGGUGAUUUGCAAUAUUGCGAUUUCAAGAAUCCCUGAAUGAACGUACUGCAGUGCAGGCCACCUGCUGCCCCGGAUGCCUCCCUUGCUAGGUAGGGGCACCUGCAUUAAGGGGGUAUUGGUCUGAGCCACAGCUGUACAUAGCAAAAAGGAAAGCCGUUGCUGCUAAGUCUGUCUGCUUGAUGAUCACCACCCAACAGUACAUUUUAUUGCUGAUGUCACAUGAGUAUCGCAAUAAAUAUUAAGUACCUGUCCCAAAGCAUACCAGCUAGUGACACUUGCAGCUAAAUCAGGCCCACGCUGAUGUUUACAAGAUAUAUUUAGUAGAC
Molecule: long non-coding RNA, 2529 nt
Organism: Anas platyrhynchos (mallard)
Lineage: Eukaryota; Metazoa; Chordata; Aves; Anseriformes; Anatidae
Source: RefSeq, a predicted model, not a curated record